GUUGUGGCUCAGUGGUAGAGCGCUUGCCUGUCACCUGUGAGGCACUGGGUUCGAUCAACAGCACCACA
Molecule: transfer RNA, 68 nt
Filed under: Marmota monax (woodchuck)
Lineage: Eukaryota; Metazoa; Chordata; Mammalia; Rodentia; Sciuridae
Description: tRNA.Asp
Source: RNAcentral